Molecule: long non-coding RNA, 1268 nt
Filed under: Sus scrofa (pig)
Lineage: Eukaryota; Metazoa; Chordata; Mammalia; Artiodactyla; Suidae
Description: lncRNA (ENSSSCG00070018063.1)
Source: RNAcentral
CUCAGACUCUCCCACUCCACCCUACGACACGGUUAUGCUACUCUCUGGGGGCAGGCAGUCCGUGGAAGAAGUUCAGUUAGAAGACUUUCUUCACAUCUUGAGAAAGAAGGGAUUGAACCCCUUUCCUUUAGAGAACAGCCCUCUAUUUCGUCUGGGGCUCGUUACAGCAAGCACAGCUGAGGACUGCCUCCAGGAAUCUAGAAGAGCUUCCAGUGGAGCCCAUGGAAGAAUUGAAAGAAGUGGAAAAUUAUGCAAACCGCGUCUGUAACUUACCAGAGGCAAAAGAAGCAUUUUCUCAUGGUUGUGAAAAGGAAAGCAGACAGCCUAGACAUGAGUUUAAAGAGUUCCAACUCAAACCAGGUAGUUUUCCUUUUGUCAAAAUGUAAAUUUUAUUUUUUCUCUAGUUUUCAUAAUUAGCACGUGACAUUAUAGAAAAUUUGGGGCAUGUAUAAAAGGAGAGGGAAGGAGAAAAAUUAACACAUACCCUCCACCUUUAGAAAAGUACUUGUAAUAUUUUAGGGGUACCUUUUUUUUUUUUUUUUUUGACUUUUGGCCAUUUCUUGGGCCGUUCCCGCAGCAUAUGGAGGUUCCCAGGCUAGGAGUUGAAUCGGAGCUGUAGCUGCUGGCCUACGCCAGAGCCACAGCCACGCGGGAUCCGAGCCGCGUCUGCAACCUACACCACAGCUCACGGCAAAGCCGGAUCCUUAACCCACUGAGCAAAGGCAGAGAUCGAACCUGCAACCUCAUGGUUCCUAGUCGGAUUCACUAACCCCUGAGCCACGGCGGAAACUCCACUUAAGGGGUACUUUCUGCUGGCCUUUUUAAGGUAUGUAUUCUGAAAUAUUCUCAAAUGUGUGUGAGAGAGUGCAGAAUGCGCUUUUCUUUCAUGUCCGUUACAGCUCUUACCACACCGUGUCCUAAUUACCUGUGUCUGUUUUUCUGGGGUCUGCAGAGAUCGCACCAUAGUCUUAGUGGUUUCUGGGGUCUCCAAGCACCUGCCCUAGAAAGUACUUAGCACAUUAAGGUUUAGGAACUGUUUGUGAAGUACUCCAAAACUCCUAGGCAAGAUACUGUAUUUGGUUUAACUCCAUAAAUUAGAUAUUAUUAUGAUGCAUGAUCAGUGACUUUAUUUUUACCACAUAUUCAUCAUUUUCUUUGCUCAGCAUUUUCUCUUGCCUCUCAGAUACUCUAUUUGGGAUGAUUUUCCUUUUUUCAUUUUAGAACUUCCUUUCACAAAGAUCUGUGGAUGGAAAUUUUUGCUUUAUUUU